GGUGGUGUAGCCUUAAUUUGGCAAUCUGAUUUAUAGGUCAGAAAGUGGGAGUAGUUCCCCAUCGCCU
Molecule: transfer RNA, 67 nt
Filed under: Anadara broughtonii
Lineage: Eukaryota; Metazoa; Mollusca; Bivalvia; Arcoida; Arcidae
Also listed under: 1 other name
Description: Scapharca broughtonii tRNA-Met
Source: RNAcentral